GUUCCCGUAGCUCAGUGGAUAGAGCACCAACCUCCUAAGUUGGGUUUUGCGGAGGUUCGACUCCUCUCGGGAACACCA
RNAcentral lists this transfer RNA (78 nucleotides) under Clostridia bacterium. RNAcentral describes it as "tRNA-Arg". It matches the Rfam family "tRNA". Rfam says of the family: Transfer RNA (tRNA) molecules are approximately 80 nucleotides in length. The record is from RNAcentral. Lineage: Bacteria; Bacillati; Bacillota; Clostridia.